UGCAAGUCGAGCGCACCCUUCGGGGCGAGCGGCGGACGGGUUAGUAACGCGUGGGAACAUACCCUUUGGUACGGAAUAGCCUCGGGAAACUGAGAGUAAUACCGUAUGUGCCCUUCGGGGGAAAGAUUUAUCGCCAAAGGAUUGGCCCGCGUUAGAUUAGAUAGUUGGUGGGGUAAUGGCCUACCAAGUCUACGAUCUAUAGCUGGUUUUAGAGGAUGAUCAGCAACACUGGGACUGAGACACGGCCCAGACUCCUACGGGAGGCAGCAGUGGGGAAUCUUAGACAAUGGGCGCAAGCCUGAUCUAGCCAUGCCGCGUGUGUGAUGAAGGCCUUAGGGUCGUAAAGCACUUUCGCCAGAGAUGAUAAUGACAGUAUCUGGUAAAGAAACCCCGGCUAACUCCGUGCCAGCAGCCGCGGUAAUACGGAGGGGGUUAGCGUUGUUCGGAAUUACUGGGCGUAAAGCGUACGUAGGCGGAUCAGAAAGUAUGGGGUGAAAUCCCAGGGCUCAACCCUGGAACUGCCUCAUAAACUCCUGGUCUUGAGUUCGAGAGAGGUGAGUGGAAUUCCAAGUGUAGAGGUGAAAUUCGUAGAUAUUUGGAGGAACACCAGUGGCGAAGGCGGCUCACUGGCUCGAUACUGACGCUGA
Molecule: ribosomal RNA, 647 nt
Filed under: uncultured bacterium
Lineage: Bacteria
Description: bacterial SSU rRNA
Rfam family: Bacterial small subunit ribosomal RNA
Source: RNAcentral